AACACAUGCAAGUCGAACGCGAAAGGGACUUCGGUCCUGAGUAAAGUGGCGCACGGGUGAGUAACACGUAGAUAACCUGUCUUCAUGUCUGGAAUAAUACGCCGAAAGGGGUACUAAUACCGGAUAUUCUUGCUUUUCAUAAGUUAUGCAAGCAAAGGUGGCCUCUGCAUAUGCUACUGCAUGAAGAGGGGUCUGCGUACCAUUAGCUAGUAGGUGGGGUAAUGGCCUACCUAGGCGACGAUGGUUAGCGGGUCUGAGAGGAUGAUCCGCCACACUGGCACUGGAACACGGGCCAGACUCCUACGGGAGGCAGCAGUGAGGAAUAUUGCGCAAUGGGGGAAACCCUGACGCAGCGACGCCGCGUGAGUGAGGAAAGGCCUUCGGGUCGUAAAGCUCUGUCAAGAGGAAAGAAGUGUACAAUGGCUAAUACCUGUUGUAUUUGACGGUACCUCUAAAGGAAGCACCGGCUAACUCCGUGCCAGCAGCAGC
Molecule: ribosomal RNA, 489 nt
Filed under: uncultured bacterium
Lineage: Bacteria
Description: bacterial SSU rRNA
Rfam family: Bacterial small subunit ribosomal RNA
Source: RNAcentral